GACCUCAAAUCGGGUGGGACUACCCGCUGAACUUAAGCAUAUCAAUAAGCGGAGGAAAAGAAACUAACAAGGAUUCCCCUAGUAACGGCGAGUGAAGAGGGAAAAGCUCAAAUUUUGAAUCUGGUGUCCUUGACUCCCGAGUUGUAAUCUAGAGAAGUGUUUCCGUGUCGGACCCAUGCACAAGUUCCCUGGAACGGGCGUCAUAGAGGGUGAGAAUCCCGUAUAUGGCAUGGGACUGCCGAUGCAUUUGUGAUACACUCUCAACGAGUCGAGUUGUUUGGGAAUGCAGCUCAAAAUGGGUGGUAAAUUCCAUCUAAAGCUAAAUAUUGGCGAGAGACCGAUAGCGAACAAGUACCGUGAGGGAAAGAUGAAAAGCACUUUGGAAAGAGAGUGAAACAGUACGUGAAAUUGUUGAAAGGGAAGCGUUUGAAGUCAG
RNAcentral lists this ribosomal RNA (436 nucleotides) under uncultured fungus. Its description in RNAcentral is "eukaryotic LSU rRNA". It matches the Rfam family "Eukaryotic large subunit ribosomal RNA", at positions 1 to 432 of the family's 3401-position model. The record is from RNAcentral. Lineage: Eukaryota; Fungi.